AGAGUUUGAUCCUGGCUCAGAUUGAACGCUGGCGGCAUGCCUUACACAUGCAAGUCGAACGGCAGCGCGGGGCAACCUGGCGGCGAGUGGCGAACGGGUGAGUAAUAUAUCGGAACGUGCCCUGGAGUGGGGGAUAACGCAGCGAAAGUUGCGCUAAUACCGCAUACGAUCUGAGGAUGAAAGCAGGGGACCGCAAGGCCUUGUGCUCCUGGAGCGGCCGAUAUCUGAUUAGCUAGUUGGUGGGGUAAAGGCCUACCAAGGCAUCGAUCAGUAGCUGGUCUGAGAGGACGACCAGCCACACUGGAACUGAGACACGGUCCAGACUCCUACGGGAGGCAGCAGUGGGGAAUUUUGGACAAUGGGCGAAAGCCUGAUCCAGCAAUGCCGCGUGAGUGAAGAAGGCCUUC
RNAcentral lists this ribosomal RNA (407 nucleotides) under uncultured bacterium. Its description in RNAcentral is "bacterial SSU rRNA". It matches the Rfam family "Bacterial small subunit ribosomal RNA", at positions 8 to 419 of the family's 1533-position model. The record is from RNAcentral.